UCCCGCAACGAGCGCAACCCUCGUCUAUGUUGCCAGCGGGUCAUGCCGGGGACUCAUAGAGAGACUGCCGGGGUCAACUCGGAGGAAGGUGGGGAUGACGUCAAGUCAUCAUGCCCCUUAUGUCUUGGGCUGCACACAUGCUACAAUGGCCGGUACAAAGGGCUGCCAUACCGCAAGGUGGAGCGAAUCCCAAAAAGCCCGCCUCAGUUC
Molecule: ribosomal RNA, 210 nt
Filed under: uncultured bacterium
Lineage: Bacteria
Description: partial 16S ribosomal RNA
Rfam family: Bacterial small subunit ribosomal RNA
Source: RNAcentral